UCAUUUCUGAGCAGUUUUUUUUCUGGCAGCAGUAGAUUUGUACUCUUACAAUUCAAAACAAAACUGCUGCUUGUGGGUCAUUCUUCAGUUAUACAGGUGAGGAAUCUCUGCCUAUGCUCUCACAUUACAUUCUAAAUCUUGUGUUUAAGAACAUGGCGCAACUGAACCUUCUGGCUUUCCAUCCUAGCCUCCAAAAGUCUGGCUUUCAAACUACUCUUCUGCACAGUGCGAGGAAUGCACCCUUUCAUGCCUCGAUUGUGCAGAUUUGCAGACUCAGGAGAACUAAACUGGAUCAGAAGGUCUUGGGGGCUUAGUUCACCUUUAUCAAGUCUCCAAUCAGGAGACAUUACGCCCCCAUUGGAUACCCUUCCAUUUGAAAGCCUUCCAUUCAUUCCCUCCACAGAGAUUAUCUUGUAAUUAUCUCCACUGUUUGGACCAGACCUCCAAAGCCUUGCUAUUGAGGAUACCUUCUUUGAUUGCUUAGCCGGUACUGACGAAACUUCACUAAUUUCAGUUAUUGGGGUCUCUACACCGGCAUUUUCUUCCCAUUCAAGCACACUCCUACCUGAGGCAUUGCUCUCUCGACGAUUCUUUGUCACUGAUAGGGUACUCCCUUCAGGUGAACAACUUGAUCCUUGAUCCUCAACAUGGCUCACAGUUUCCCAUCCACUUUCAUCUUCUUCAAUAUCACCAUUGUCAUCCAUAAAUAAAUUAGAACAUCUUCGGAAGUUAUCCUUACUAAUCAUGUUGGCUUCAGGACUCACUGUGUGAAUCUUUGAGGCGUGACUCACAGGAGAGUAAGCAACACAUGAUUCAAUAUCCUUCUCGUUGGGUUCACCGAAAUUUAAAUCUUCA
Molecule: long non-coding RNA, 855 nt
Filed under: Phaseolus vulgaris (common bean)
Lineage: Eukaryota; Viridiplantae; Streptophyta; Magnoliopsida; Fabales; Fabaceae
Description: long non-coding RNA (PVUL_LNC002601)
Source: RNAcentral